Molecule: transfer RNA, 76 nt
Filed under: Grammistes sexlineatus
Lineage: Eukaryota; Metazoa; Chordata; Actinopteri; Perciformes; Serranidae
Description: tRNA-Cys
Source: RNAcentral
AGCUCUGAGGUGUAUUUACAUGUUAGAUUGCAAAUCUUAAGAAGCAGAUUAACGUCUGCCGGGGCUUUCCCCGCCU